UAAGCCAGACCUCAGCAAUGCAAAAUGGAGGCCCCAGCCUGGACCCGCCGAUGCAUCCGCGUAUGCAGGCGCUGCCCACGCGUGUGGAAGGGUAUUCGUUCCCCCUCACCUCCCUUGCGUCAUUUGCCCCUCUCUCCGUUCCUUUCUUCGUUGCAUCUUCCCUCACCUUGCUACGCCCGAGUAGAUCCAGUGCUCCAUGGCUGCCGGUGUUCCCCAGAUCUGUGCAAGGCAGAAAGGCAUUGACUGCGGAUAGUCUGUGGUGCGGCUGUUGACCUUGGCUGCUGGCAAUCUAUCCUUGCCGAAAUCGCCAGCGGCGGGUACGGGGUACCUCGGCGGCGGGCAGCGUCUGCAAUCCCAACGGGUUGGGCGGCCAUCAUCCUCGGAGAAUCCGUGCUCGAGAGGAAACCUUCAAUGGCGGAGAAGGGUCGCAGCUGCUGUGACAGAGCCAAUUGCUGAGGAUCUUGCGAUUGGGCAGGCGUUCAUCUGACAGUGGCAGGUGUCUUGAGUCUUGACUGAUGGUGGAGUUCAAUCUUGGAAGGAUUCGGCAGCUCACAUUUUAUGUCAUUUUUUUCUUAUUCUUUUUCUUAUUUAACAUUUUCUUGUUAUAAAGAUGUGAUCACUAGUUUUUUGCGCAUAGUUUACAAUAAAUUGUAAUUGUCAAAUGAGUGCAAAUUGAUCACUGAUGCUAGGGUUGUUCGCUGCGGUAA
This is a long non-coding RNA of Panicum virgatum (switchgrass), 707 nucleotides long. RefSeq lists it as uncharacterized. The transcript has 2 exons. Lineage: Eukaryota; Viridiplantae; Streptophyta; Magnoliopsida; Poales; Poaceae. The record is from RefSeq and is a predicted model, not a curated record.